AACGCACAUUGCGCCCCUUGGUAUUCCGAGGGGCAUGCCUGUUCGAGUGUCAUUAUGACCACUCAAGCCUGGCUUGGUGUUGGGGUUCGCGGUCCCGCGGCCCUUAAAAUCAGUGGCGGCGCCAUCUGGCUCUAAGCGUAGUAAUCUUUCUCGCUAUAGGGUCCCGGUGGAUGCUUGCCAGCAACCCCCCAUUUCUUAGGUUGACCUCGGAUCAGGUAGGGAUACCCGCUGAACUUAA
RNAcentral lists this unclassified non-coding RNA (238 nucleotides) under uncultured fungus. RNAcentral describes it as "partial contains 5.8S ribosomal RNA, internal transcribed spacer 2, and large subunit ribosomal RNA". The stretch from base 1 to 52 matches the Rfam family "5.8S ribosomal RNA", at positions 103 to 154 of the family's 154-position model. The record is from RNAcentral. Lineage: Eukaryota; Fungi.